UGUGCUCAGUUAAAGAACCGUUUACUCUCUCACCUGAUUUGUAUCCGUCUGUUGCGUUAGCAGUUCCACUCGUGUGGGCUGGGGGUAUAACUGUUGUGACUCGGCGGGGUAAUUUUUGUUUUCCAUAUUCAUGAGCGGUACAUGAACGUUGGUUGUAAGGAACACUUUAUAAGGCACUCGGAAUACACGCGAACAUUAACGAUGCGUGUGAUGAUUGUUAACAAAAUUGUUGUUGUAUCGUAGCGGUCCCGCAAUGGAUUUGCAGUGUUGUGUAACGCACAAUGGUUAUCAUACAGGUGAGAAGGUUUCGUGGUCGUAUGCAAAUUCAUACAAUAUUAUUCAACAAUUUGGAAAAAUUGUUUAUAUUCGACGAUAGAACAGAAGCGUACACCGGUAAUGCCAGCGUUGGAGGCCUGGAGCAGCCUGACUGCGCGAUAAUGCAAACCGAUUUAUUGGGGGCCGGCAACGGCAACUAGUAUCAAGAAUUCGCUCUCUCCCUCUCUGUGUACAGUUUUAGCUCAUGGCACAACACACACAAGGUAGGGUCUUAGCGAGCGCUCUCUUGCAAGGCGUGUAUCAACGAAUUAACGGCGACCUCACAGGGAGAAGACAGAGGGGCAAAAGAAAUGCCACUAUCAACAAGCAGGUUGGCCGCACCUUAUGUACGUAAUGUGUCAUGCGGCCGCUUGCCCCAUUCGUAUUAUUUAUGAGUUCGUGCGAAUAUUAUUAAAUUAAAUACUGUUGGAUAAGUAUAAACAAAUAAGAAGAAGAGUCGACGUUGGACCAAUUUUUCCUGUCGCCAGAAGCUGAGAUCGCCACAGAGCCGUUGCAUCCCGUAUGCCGUUGAAUCUCUGUCAACUGAUAAACGUUUUCGCGCCUUUUCAAAUUUAAAUGAAUCAAAGCGAAAAAGCAGAGCAUCAUUUUGGUCAACGUAAUUGGAUCAACGGUUCACAGUCAAUAAACGUGCCUUCGACCAGCAAUUUGCAUUUGCCGUAUUGAUUGUACUCAACAUAGACACCAAUCGACUACAUGGCGGAUGGCCAGCGCAGCCAAAUGAUACACAUUACAGCUGUAUUUAUCGUGUGUACGCUGAACUACUCAGACUGUAUUGGCCUUCCGCUGAUAGCCAAAUCCUUCUUGAACAGGAUGCAAUGGCUAAUCUGCGCAGUCGACCUGUCCAGGUGCCUCACGUUCUCACGUUCGGCCAGACGCUAUUUUCCAAUAGAGACAUUACAAAUAUUUGAGUUAUUUUAGAUAUGAAAUGUUCUGGGUUGUUGUCCCUGAUGCAGCUGAGCCUGUUCGUGGUGGCAAGCCCAGGCUGUGCCAUUUUCGGAACUAAGUGAAUGUAGGAUAUACGGAGUUGAGUUUACUUUGGCAACUUAAUAGCUUAAUGUUUGAUUACAUCUAUUAAAAGAUACGUUUUUAGUUUAAUAGGCAAUCGAAUUGUUGCUUACUUAUUAACAAUAUAAAGAUUACCCAAUGCAUGGGUACAAUUUUAAACGAAGCUUAAACAGAAUGGCUAAAUAAUACUUAGACUAUAUUCAUUGUGUAAAAAUAAAUAAUUUGUUCAAUUAUGUUUCUCAAAAGUUUGUACUUACAUCACUGUUAUUUUCUGUGGCGCCCAUCGGAAUAUAUCCUGCACAAUACGUCCUUGUUUAAACAAUUAA
Drosophila obscura is the source of this 1667-nucleotide long non-coding RNA. RefSeq lists it as uncharacterized. NCBI's taxonomy places the organism in Eukaryota, Metazoa, Arthropoda, Insecta, Diptera, Drosophilidae. The record is from RefSeq and is a predicted model, not a curated record. The transcript is spliced from 3 exons.